Molecule: transfer RNA, 88 nt
Filed under: Piscirickettsiaceae bacterium
Lineage: Bacteria; Pseudomonadati; Pseudomonadota; Gammaproteobacteria; Thiotrichales; Piscirickettsiaceae
Description: tRNA-Leu
Rfam family: tRNA (bases 7-79)
About the family: Transfer RNA (tRNA) molecules are approximately 80 nucleotides in length. Their secondary structure includes four short double-helical elements and three loops (D, anti-codon, and T loops).
Source: RNAcentral
UCUGACCAUGGCGGAAUUGGUAGACGCGCUAGAUUCAGGUUCUAGUGGGAGCAAUCCCGUGGAGGUUCGAGUCCUCUUGUCCGCACCA